AGCUCGUGUCGUGUAGAUGUUUGGGUUAAGUUCCCGCAACGAGCGCAACCCUCGACCUUAGUUGCCAGCAUUCAGUUGGGCACUCUAAGGUGACUGCCGGCUAAAAGUCGGAGGAAGUGGGGAUGACGUCAAAUCAUCAUGCCCCUUAUGACCUGGGCUACACACGUGCUACAAUGGGCGGUACAAAGGGUCGCGAACCCGCGAGGGGGAGCCAACCCCAAAAAGACCGCUCUCAGUUCGGAUUGCAGGCUGCAACUCGCCUGCAUGAAGCCGGAGUUGCUAGUAACCGCAGGUCAGCAAUACUGCGGUGAAUACGUUCCCGGGUCUU
RNAcentral lists this ribosomal RNA (328 nucleotides) under uncultured Anoxybacillus sp. Its description in RNAcentral is "bacterial SSU rRNA". It matches the Rfam family "Bacterial small subunit ribosomal RNA", at positions 1057 to 1382 of the family's 1533-position model. The record is from RNAcentral. Lineage: Bacteria; Bacillati; Bacillota; Bacilli; Caryophanales; Anoxybacillaceae.